GUUUAAAAAGAUGGGUUCUGCUAUCACUCUUGGGAUGGGACCCUGCGGUGCAUUUAGCUAGUUGGUAAGGGUAACGGGCUUACCAAGGCAAUGAUGCAUAGCCCGAGUUGAGAGACUGAUCGGGCCACAUUGGGGACUGAGACACGGGCCCAAAACUCCUACGGGGAGGCAGCAGUAGGGAAUCUUCCACAAUGGACGCAAGUCUGAUGGAGCAACGCCGCGUGAGUGAAGAAGGGUUUCGGCUCGUAAAGCUCUGUUGGUAGUGAAGAAGAUAGAGGUAGUACUGUCUUUAUUGACGUAAUUACUUAGAAGUCACGGCUAACUACGUGCCAGCAGCCGCGGUAAU
This 346-nucleotide ribosomal RNA is filed under the name uncultured Lactobacillus sp. RNAcentral describes it as "bacterial SSU rRNA". It matches the Rfam family "Bacterial small subunit ribosomal RNA", at positions 197 to 524 of the family's 1533-position model. The record is from RNAcentral. Lineage: Bacteria; Bacillati; Bacillota; Bacilli; Lactobacillales; Lactobacillaceae.